Non-coding RNA from Cerioporus squamosus, 78 nucleotides. Lineage: Eukaryota; Fungi; Basidiomycota; Agaricomycetes; Polyporales; Polyporaceae. The record is from the annotation of a GenBank genome assembly.
GCCAUCGUGGCGCAAUGGUAGCGCAUCACCUUCCUACGAUAGAGGUGGGCGUUGCGGGUUCGAUCCCCGUCGGUGGUA